AAAAAAAAAAAAAAAAAAAAAAACUACAACAUUUUUUAAAGCGGUCAGAUUGUCUCCAAACGAUUCUCUUCUUGUCACAUUAGUUCAAUCAUGUAAGUUUUUCUAAGCAGAGUUUUUAUUAGUGGAUUUUUUUUUUUUUUUUUAUGAACAGAUAAAUUAGAAGAAGAAUUUUUAUUCAAUAUACACAUUAAUACACACACACACACACACACACACACACACACGGUGCAUCUAGAGUCAGGUCCGACCGCAUCCCUUCCAUUCGGACCAAAAACAUGCUCUAAUUUACGGCCGUUGGGUUUUAUGACUUCGAAUGGAUGGCUGAGAUUGCAGACAUCACUCACGUGUGAAAACUUUGCCCAAAUCUCCCAUUUUCGUUCCCUCUCCCCUUCUACCUCUCUAGUUCCUCUUCCACUCGCACCAGCUCCGUCUCAAAUCUUCCACUCACACCAGCUCUCUGGUUCCUCUUCCACUUGCACCAGCUCCCUAGUUCCUUUUUCCACUCGCACUAGCUCUCUAAUUCACCGCACUAGCUCUCUGAUUCCCCGCACCAGCUCUCCACUCGCACCAGUCAAAUUUUAGUAAUAUGAAAAAAGAUGUGGUAAAUUCAUUUGGGCAAAAGAAGAGGAAGCCAAACUUGAUGAAAUAGAUAUUCUUAUUGGUGAAAUUCGGCGUUUAUUAUUGCAAGUGGAGAAAUCUAAUAAUAUUCUUGAAGCAAUUCAGAAAAAUACAAAGAUGAGCAACCAAUAUGACAUUAAGACUGUUAUAGUGUUUUGUACUUUUAUUAUUUAUUUUCUUUAAAAUGUUUGCCUAAUGAUGUAGCCAAGUAAUAUAUGUGUCUGUUCGGUUGGUAAAUUAUGAAAGUAACAUGUAUGAUAUAUGUAUCCACAUUUCAAACUUUGUUUUCUAUGAAAGUACUGGUUUUGGUUUGUGGCUA
Molecule: long non-coding RNA, 937 nt
Organism: Ziziphus jujuba (common jujube)
Lineage: Eukaryota; Viridiplantae; Streptophyta; Magnoliopsida; Rosales; Rhamnaceae
Exons: 2
Source: RefSeq, a predicted model, not a curated record